This 253-nucleotide ribosomal RNA is filed under the name uncultured bacterium. RNAcentral describes it as "partial 16S ribosomal RNA". It matches the Rfam family "Bacterial small subunit ribosomal RNA", at positions 524 to 776 of the family's 1533-position model. The record is from RNAcentral.
UACAGAGGGGGCAAGCGUUGUUCGGAAUUACUGGGCGUAAAGGGCGCGUAGGCGGCCUGCUAAGUCGAACGUGAAAUCCCUGGGCUUAACCCAGGAACUGCGUCCGAUACUGGUUGGCUUGAAUCCGGGAGAGGGAUGUGGAAUUCCAGGUGUAGCGGUGAAAUGCGUAGAUAUUGGGAGGAACACCGGUGGCGAAGGCGGCCCCCUGGGCUGGUACUGACGCUGAUGCGCGAAAGCGUGGGUAGCAAACGGG